This 1564-nucleotide ribosomal RNA is filed under the name metagenome. RNAcentral describes it as "SSU rRNA". It matches the Rfam family "Eukaryotic small subunit ribosomal RNA", at positions 311 to 1801 of the family's 1831-position model. The record is from RNAcentral.
CCUAUCAGGCUUUGACGAUGGUACAGGGGACCAUCAUGGUGGUCACGGGUAACGGGGAAUCAGGGUUCGAUUCCGGAGAGGGAGCCUGAGAAGUGGCUACCACCUCUAAGGAAGGAAGCAGGCGCGCAAAUUACCCAAUCCUGAUUCGGAGAGGUAGUGACGAGAAAUAUCAAUAUUGGACCUGAUAGGUACAAUGUUUGGAAUGAGUACAAUUUAAAAACCUUAACGAGGAACAAUUGGAGGGCAAGUCUGGUGCCAGCAGCCGCGGUAAUUCCAGCUCCAACAGUGUAUAUGAAAGUUGCUGCGGUUAAAAAGCUCGUAGUUGGAUUUCGGAUCGCCUGCAUCCUCCAGUCCACCGACAAGGUGCGUACUGGAUGUAGGCUUCCUUUUCUUUUGCAAGAACACGGCUUCUCGGGUCCCGUUGGACCCCUCCCUUCGCCCUCGGGAGUCGGGGGAAAAGGCCGAUGGGGGUGCCCGGUUGCCGAUGGGCUGCAAAUCGUUUACUUUGAAAAAAUUAGAGUGUUUAAAGCAGGCGUAACAUAGCCUUGAAUACAUUAGCAUGGGAUAAUUGAAUUCGACUUAUGGGGUCUUAUGUUUGUUGGCUUAUCUUAGACCCAAGUUAGGAUUAAAAGGGACAGUUGGAGUUACUCAUAUUGAGUUGUCAGAGGUGAAAUUCUAGGAUUUAUUCAAGAUGGACUAGUGCGAAAGCAUUUAGCGGGGAUGUUUUCGUUAAUCAAGAACGAAAGUUGGGGGAUCGAAGAUGAUCAGAUACCGUCGUAGUCUCAACCGUAAACUAUGUCAACCAAGGAUCCGCGAACGUUACAUGGAUGACUUCGCGGGCACUUUGUGAGAAAUCACAAGUAUUUGGAUUCCGGGGGGAGUAUGGUCGCAAGGCUGAAACUUAAAGGAAUUGACGGAAGGGCACCACCAGGAGUGGAACCUGCGGCUUAAUUUGACGCAACACGCGAAACUUCACUAGGUCCGGAUACGGGUAGGAUUGACAGAUUGAGAGCUCUUUCUUGAUUGCGUAGAUGGUGGUGCAUGGCCGUUUUUAGUUGGUGGAGUGAUUUGUCUGGUUAAUUCCGUUAACGAACGAGACCUUAACCUAUUAAAUAGUUGCGUAAACUAAGGCUCCUCGGGGCCUAUUCCGUUUGUGGAAACUUCUUAGAGGGACUCUUCGCAUUCUAGCGGAUGGAAGUUUGAGGCAAAAACAGGUCUGUGAUGCCCUUCGAUGUUCUAGGCUGCACGCGCGUUACACUGACACAUGCAACGAGUUCCAUUUCCUUGCCCGAUGGGGCCGGGUAAGCUUUUUAAUGUGUGUCGUGAUGGGGAUAGAACCUUGCAAUUAUUGUUCUUGAACAGGAAUUCCUAGUAAGCGCGAGUCAUCAACUCGUGCUGAUUACGUCCCUGCCCUUUGUACACACCGCCCGUCGCUCCUACCGAUUGAACGGCGUGGUGAGGAUUCAGGACGGCGAGGAUCCCAGGUUGCUUUCGGGUAAUCUGGACCAUGCUGGAAUCUAUUCGAACCCUGUCGUUUAGAGGAAGGAGAAGUCGUAACAAGGUC